UUGAACGCUGGCGGAAUGCUUUACACAUGCAAGUCGAGCGGCAGCGCGGGGGCAACCCUGGCGGCGAGCGGCGAACGGGUGAGUAAUGUAUCGGAACGUACCCUGUCGUGGGGGAUAACACAGCGAAAGCUGUGCUAAUACCGCAUACGACCUGAGGGUGAAAGCGGGGGAUCGCAAGACCUCGCGCGAUAGGAGCGGCCGAUAUCGGAUUAGCUUGUUGGUGAGGUAAAGGCUCACCAAGGCGACGAUCCGUAGCUGGUCUGAGAGGACGACCAGCCACACUGGAACUGAGACACGGUCCAGACUCCUACGGGAGGCAGCAGUGGGGAAUUUUGGACAAUGGGCGCAAGCCUGAUCCAGCAAUGCCGCGUGCAGGAUGAAGGCCUUCGGGUUGUAAACUGCUUUUGUACGGAACGAAAAGACUCCUUCUAAUAAAGGGGGUUCAUGACGGUACCGUAAGAAUAAGCACCGGCUAACUACGU
RNAcentral lists this ribosomal RNA (482 nucleotides) under uncultured bacterium. Its description in RNAcentral is "bacterial SSU rRNA". It matches the Rfam family "Bacterial small subunit ribosomal RNA", at positions 30 to 506 of the family's 1533-position model. The record is from RNAcentral.